Molecule: microRNA precursor, 96 nt
Filed under: Marmota monax (woodchuck)
Lineage: Eukaryota; Metazoa; Chordata; Mammalia; Rodentia; Sciuridae
Source: RNAcentral
GGUGGAAUUGUUAGGUUAUAAAGCAAUUCUAUGUUUUUGAGGAACUGCCAAACUGUUUCUACAGUGGAUACCCCAUUUUACAUUACUAUGAGCAAU